This 253-nucleotide ribosomal RNA is filed under the name uncultured bacterium. RNAcentral describes it as "partial 16S ribosomal RNA". It matches the Rfam family "Archaeal small subunit ribosomal RNA", at positions 474 to 727 of the family's 1478-position model. The record is from RNAcentral.
UACCAGCACCCCGAGUGGUCGGGACGAUUAUUGGGCCUAAAGCAUCCGUAGCCGGUUCUACAAGUCUUCCGUUAAAUCCACCUGCUUAACAGAUGGGCUGCGGAGGAUACUAUAGAGCUAGGAGGCGGGAGAGGCAAGCGGUACUUAGUGGGUAGGGGUAAAAUCCUCUGAUCCAUUGAAGACCACCAGUGGCGAAGGCGGCUUGCCAAUACGCGCUCGACGGUGAGGGGUGAAAGCUGGGGGAGCAAACCGG